UUAUGGCCAUAUCACAGUGAAACACUGGUUUUCAUACGAUCACCAAAGUUAAGUAACAUUGAACUUCGUCAGUACCUAGAUGGGUGACCAGCUGGGAAUAUCAAGUGCUAU
Molecule: non-coding RNA, 111 nt
Organism: Acanthosepion pharaonis
Lineage: Eukaryota; Metazoa; Mollusca; Cephalopoda; Sepiida; Sepiidae
Source: the annotation of a GenBank genome assembly